Molecule: ribosomal RNA, 466 nt
Filed under: uncultured bacterium
Lineage: Bacteria
Description: partial 16S ribosomal RNA
Rfam family: Bacterial small subunit ribosomal RNA
Source: RNAcentral
GAUGAACGCUGGCGGCGUGCUUAACACAUGCAAGUCGAACGGAAAGGCUCCUGCUUGCAGGGGUACUCGAGUGGCGAACGGGUGAGUAACACGUGGGUGAUCUGCCCUGCACUUCGGGAUAAGCCUGGGAAACUGGGUCUAAUACCGGAUAGGACGAUGGUUUGGAUGCCAUUGUGGAAAGUUUUUCGGUGUGGGAUGAGCUCGCGGCCUAUCAGCUUGUUGGUGGGGUAAUGGCCUACCAAGGCGUCGACGGGUAGCCGGCCUGAGAGGGUGUACGGCCACAUUGGGACUGAGAGACGGCCCAGACUCCUACGGGAGGCAGCAGUGGGGAAUAUUGCACAAUGGGCGCAAGCCUGAUGCAGCGACGCCGCGGGGGGGAUGACGGCCUUCGGGUUGUAAACUCCUUUCGCUAGGGACGAAGCGUUUUGUGACGGUACCUGGAGAAGAAGCACCGGCUAACUACGUG